This 70-nucleotide transfer RNA is filed under the name Triplophysa dalaica. Its description in RNAcentral is "tRNA-Trp". It matches the Rfam family "tRNA". From Rfam's summary of the family: Transfer RNA (tRNA) molecules are approximately 80 nucleotides in length. Their secondary structure includes four short double-helical elements and three loops (D, anti-codon, and T loops). The record is from RNAcentral. Lineage: Eukaryota; Metazoa; Chordata; Actinopteri; Cypriniformes; Nemacheilidae. RNAcentral also lists the same sequence under 1 other name.
AGGGGUUUAGGAUAGUUUAGACCAAGAGCCUUCAAAGCUCUAAGUAGAAGUUAAAAUCUUCUAAUCCCUG